This 471-nucleotide ribosomal RNA is filed under the name Tetrahymena sp. DLTH120-07. RNAcentral's name for it is "SSU rRNA". It matches the Rfam family "Eukaryotic small subunit ribosomal RNA", at positions 1317 to 1831 of the family's 1831-position model. The record is from RNAcentral. Lineage: Eukaryota; Ciliophora; Oligohymenophorea; Hymenostomatida; Tetrahymenidae.
GGUAUUCCGUUACGAACGAGACCUUAACCUGCUAACUAGUCUGUCUGUGAACAACAGAUUGUACUUCUUAGAGGGACUAUUGUGCAAGAAGCCAAUGGAAGUUUAAGGCAAUAACAGGUCUGUGAUGCCCCUAGACGUGCUCGGCCGCACGCGCGUUACAAUGACUGGCGCAGAAAGUAUUUCCUGUCCUGGGAAGGUACGGGUAAUCUUAUUAAUACCAGUCGUGUUAGGGAUAGUUCUUUGGAAUUUUGGAUCUUGAACGAGGAAUUUCUAGUAAGUGCAAGUCAUCAGCUUGCGUUGAUUAUGUCCCUGCCGUUUGUACACACCGCCCGUCGCUUGUAGUAACGAAUGGUCUGGUGAACCUUCUGGACUGCGGCAGCAAUGCUGCGGAAAAAUAAGUAAACCCUACCAUUUGGAACAACAAGAAGUCGUAACAAGGUAUCUGUAGGUGAACCUGCAGAUGGAUCAUUA